RNAcentral lists this transfer RNA (68 nucleotides) under Callimico goeldii (Goeldi's marmoset). RNAcentral describes it as "tRNA-Phe". It matches the Rfam family "tRNA". Rfam says of the family: Transfer RNA (tRNA) molecules are approximately 80 nucleotides in length. Their secondary structure includes four short double-helical elements and three loops (D, anti-codon, and T loops). Lineage: Eukaryota; Metazoa; Chordata; Mammalia; Primates; Cebidae. The record is from RNAcentral.
GUUAAUGUAGCUUAAUAUCAAAGCAAGACACUGAAAAUGUCUAGACGGGUAUCAUAACCCCAUAAACA